Long non-coding RNA from Galleria mellonella (greater wax moth), 581 nucleotides. RefSeq lists it as uncharacterized. NCBI's taxonomy places the organism in Eukaryota, Metazoa, Arthropoda, Insecta, Lepidoptera, Pyralidae. The record is from RefSeq and is a predicted model, not a curated record. The transcript is spliced from 3 exons.
GCGAAAUAUACUUCGCCUGUAUCCAAAGAUUUCUGAAUAGCACAACAGAUAUCGCAGUAGCACGCAGUUUAUCAGCACGUGAAAUAUAAUUAAUCUGCCAAUACAUCACAGAUCUUGCACAAGGCAAUUCAAAGUCAUCAGACAAGUUACACAAGCGAUACAAUAACAGUAACAUUAACGUUUUGUUAACAAAACACCGGUCGUUAGUUGUUUUUCACAAUUCCCUUGCCAUUGUUUUGUUAAAAGCCGAUUGAAAUAAUUAUUCUCACGUUCCAGAAGAUAUGAGCUAUUGUCGUGGACAUUCAACGAACACAGACAAGGAAAUCAUAUCAUAUCACCGAUAAAGUCUGCAGUGUUUUUUAACCUUGAUAUUGGCAAAAUCAUUGGAAUCCCAAUAGAACUAUAGCUAUCGAGUAUAAGUAUACUUAAAAAAUGUUAAAGUUUGUUUAUUGAUAGAUAUUCAGUUUGAAUAUUUCCUCGUGGUGAUCGAAUAAGAUUAUAAUGUGUCACCACCUCUUUUUGUAUCCUGGAUAUCGCAAGAGGCGACUACAGAACCACACUAAGACAAUAUACAAGGUAAA